This 253-nucleotide ribosomal RNA is filed under the name uncultured bacterium. RNAcentral's name for it is "partial 16S ribosomal RNA". It matches the Rfam family "Bacterial small subunit ribosomal RNA", at positions 524 to 776 of the family's 1533-position model. The record is from RNAcentral.
UACAGAGGGUGCGAGCGUUAAUCGGAAUUACUGGGCGUAAAGGGUGCGCAGGUGGUUAUGUAAGUUAGAUGUGAAAUUUCCGGGCUUAACCUGGGAACUGCGUCUGAUACUGCAUGGCUCGAGUCCUGUAGAGGAAAGCGGAAUUUCCGGUGUAGCAGUGAAAUGCGUAGAUAUUGGGAGGAACACCAGUGGCGAAGGCGGCUCACUGGACCGGAACUGACGCUGAGGCGCGAAAGCGUGGGGAGCAAACAGG